This 136-nucleotide non-coding RNA is filed under the name Bacillus sp. (in: firmicutes). RNAcentral's name for it is "Bacillus sp. SAM-I sequence". It matches the Rfam family "SAM riboswitch aptamer (S box leader)". Rfam says of the family: The SAM riboswitch is found upstream of a number of genes which code for proteins involved in methionine or cysteine biosynthesis in Gram-positive bacteria. The SAM riboswitch acts at the level of transcription termination control. Lineage: Bacteria; Bacillati; Bacillota; Bacilli; Caryophanales; Bacillaceae. The record is from RNAcentral.
CUCUUAUCCCGAGAUGGUGGAGGGACAGGCCCAAUGAAACCCAGCAACCUGCAUACUAAGAAAAUGUCUUAUAACUAGACAUUUUCUAGGCAAAGGUGCUUAACCUGAUGCAAGGCUAGUCCUUGAACGAUAAGAG